RNAcentral lists this ribosomal RNA (2989 nucleotides) under Salmonella enterica subsp. enterica serovar Typhimurium. RNAcentral describes it as "23S ribosomal RNA". It matches the Rfam family "Bacterial large subunit ribosomal RNA". RNAcentral also lists the same sequence under 1 other name. The record is from RNAcentral. Lineage: Bacteria; Pseudomonadati; Pseudomonadota; Gammaproteobacteria; Enterobacterales; Enterobacteriaceae.
GGUUAAGCGACUAAGCGUACACGGUGGAUGCCCUGGCAGUCAGAGGCGAUGAAGGACGUGCUAAUCUGCGAUAAGCGCCGGUAAGGUGAUAUGAACCGUUAUAACCGGCGAUUUCCGAAUGGGGAAACCCAGUGUGAUUCGUCACACUAUCAUUAACUGAAUCCAUAGGUUAAUGAGGCGAACCGGGGGAACUGAAACAUCUAAGUACCCCGAGGAAAAGAAAUCAACCGAGAUUCCCCCAGUAGCGGCGAGCGAACGGGGAGGAGCCCAGAGCCUGAAUCAGCAUGUGUGUUAGUGGAAGCGUCUGGAAAGGUGCGCGAUACAGGGUGACAGCCCCGUACACAAAAGCGCAUGUGCUGUGAGCUCGAUGAGUAGGGCGGGACACGUGGUAUCCUGUCUGAAUAUGGGGGGACCAUCCUCCAAGGCUAAAUACUCCUGACUGACCGAUAGUGAACCAGUACCGUGAGGGAAAGGCGAAAAGAACCCCGGCGAGGGGAGUGAAAAAGAACCUGAAACCGUGUACGUACAAGCAGUGGGAGCACAGGUUUACCUGUGUGACUGCGUACCUUUUGUAUAAUGGGUCAGCGACUUAUAUUCUGUAGCAAGGUUAACCGAAUAGGGGAGCCGGAGGGAAACCGAGUCUUAAUUGGGCGUUAAGUUGCAGGGUAUAGACCCGAAACCCGGUGAUCUAGCCAUGGGCAGGUUGAAGGUUGGGUAACACUAACUGGAGGACCGAACCGACUAAUGUUGAAAAAUUAGCGGAUGACCUGUGGCUGGGGGUGAAAGGCCAAUCAAACCGGGAGAUAGCUGGUUCUCCCCGAAAGCUAUUUAGGUAGCGCCUCGUGAAUUCAUCUCCGGGGGUAGAGCACUGUUUCGGCUAGGGGGCCAUCCCGGCUUACCAACCCGAUGCAAACUGCGAAUACCGGAGAAUGUUAUCACGGGAGACACACGGCGGGUGCUAACGUCCGUCGUGAAGAGGGAAACAACCCAGACCGCCAGCUAAGGUCCCAAAGUCAUGGUUAAGUGGGAAACGAUGUGGGAAGGCCCAGACAGCCAGGAUGUUGGCUUAGAAGCAGCCAUCAUUUAAAGAAAGCGUAAUAGCUCACUGGUCGAGUCGGCCUGCGCGGAAGAUGUAACGGGGCUAAACCAUGCACCGAAGCUGCGGCAGCGAACGUAUCACUUAAAGCGAUUCAGCGGGUUACGAUUGACGGAGCGAAGCGACGUCAAAGCGUAUACAAAGUCGAGUCGGUUUAAGGAUACGUUCGUUGGGUAGGGGAGCGUUCUGUAAGCCCGUGAAGGUGGCCUGUGAGGGUUGCUGGAGGUAUCAGAAGUGCGAAUGCUGACAUAAGUAACGAUAAAGCGGGUGAAAAGCCCGCUCGCCGGAAGACCAAGGGUUCCUGUCCAACGUUAAUCGGGGCAGGGUGAGUCGACCCCUAAGGCGAGGCCGAAAGGCGUAGUCGAUGGGAAACGGGUUAAUAUUCCCGUACUUGGUGUUACUGCGAAGGGGGGACGGAGAAGGCUAUGUUGGCCGGGCGACGGUUGUCCCGGUUUAAGCGUGUAGGUGUGUGUUCCAGGUAAAUCCGGUUCACUUUAACACUGAGGCGUGACGACGAGGCACUACGGUGCUGAAGCAACAAAUGCCCUGCUUCCAGGAAAAGCCUCUAAGCAUCAGGUAACACGAAAUCGUACCCCAAACCGACACAGGUGGUCAGGUAGAGAAUACCAAGGCGCUUGAGAGAACUCGGGUGAAGGAACUAGGCAAAAUGGUGCCGUAACUUCGGGAGAAGGCACGCUGACACGUAGGUGAAGUGAUUUACUCAUGGAGCUGAAGUCAGUCGAAGAUACCAGCUGGCUGCAACUGUUUAUUAAAAACACAGCACUGUGCAAACACGAAAGUGGACGUAUACGGUGUGACGCCUGCCCGGUGCCGGAAGGUUAAUUGAUGGGGUCAGCGCAAGCGAAGCUCCUGAUCGAAGCCCCGGUAAACGGCGGCCGUAACUAUAACGGUCCUAAGGUAGCGAAAUUCCUUGUCGGGUAAGUUCCGACCUGCACGAAUGGCGUAAUGAUGGCCAGGCUGUCUCCACCCGAGACUCAGUGAAAUUGAACUCGCUGUGAAGAUGCAGUGUACCCGCGGCAAGACGGAAAGACCCCGUGAACCUUUACUAUAGCUUGACACUGAACAUUGAGCCUUGAUGUGUAGGAUAGGUGGGAGGCUUUGAAGUGUGGACGCCAGUCUGCAUGGAGCCGACCUUGAAAUACCACCCUUUAAUGUUUGAUGUUCUAACGUGGACCCGUAAUCCGGGUUGCGGACAGUGUCUGGUGGGUAGUUUGACUGGGGCGGUCUCCUCCUAAAGAGUAACGGAGGAGCACGAAGGUUGGCUAAUCCUGGUCGGACAUCAGGAGGUUAGUGCAAUGGCAUAAGCCAGCUUGACUGCGAGCGUGACGGCGCGAGCAGGUGCGAAAGCAGGUCAUAGUGAUCCGGUGGUUCUGAAUGGAAGGGCCAUCGCUCAACGGAUAAAAGGUACUCCGGGGAUAACAGGCUGAUACCGCCCAAGAGUUCAUAUCGACGGCGGUGUUUGGCACCUCGAUGUCGGCUCAUCACAUCCUGGGGCUGAAGUAGGUCCCAAGGGUAUGGCUGUUCGCCAUUUAAAGUGGUACGCGAGCUGGGUUUAGAACGUCGUGAGACAGUUCGGUCCCUAUCUGCCGUGGGCGCUGGAGAACUGAGGGGGGCUGCUCCUAGUACGAGAGGACCGGAGUGGACGCAUCACUGGUGUUCGGGUUGUCAUGCCAAUGGCACUGCCCGGUAGCUAAAUGCGGAAGAGAUAAGUGCUGAAAGCAUCUAAGCACGAAACUUGCCCCGAGAUGAGUUCUCCCUGAGACUUAGAGUCUCCUGAAGGAACGUUGAAGACGACGACGUUGAUAGGCCGGGUGUGUAAGCGCAGCGAUGCGUUGAGCUAACCGGUACUAAUGAACCGUGAGGCUUAACCUU